UACGUAGGGUGCGAGCGUUAAUCGGAAUUACUGGGCGUAAAGCGUGCGCAGGCGGUCUGUUAAGACCGAUGUGAAAUCCCCGGGCUUAACCUGGGAACUGCAUUGGUGACUGGCAGGCUUUGAGUGUGGCAGAGGGAGGUAGAAUUCCACGUGUAGCAGUGAAAUGCGUAGAGAUGUGGAGGAAUACCGAUGGCGAAGGCAGCCGUC
This 207-nucleotide ribosomal RNA is filed under the name uncultured bacterium. RNAcentral describes it as "partial 16S ribosomal RNA". It matches the Rfam family "Bacterial small subunit ribosomal RNA", at positions 524 to 729 of the family's 1533-position model. The record is from RNAcentral.